UACGGAGGAUCCGAGCGUUAUCCGGAUUUAUUGGGUUUAAAGGGUGCGCAGGCGGGGGAUUAAGUCGGCGGUGAAAUUUUGCAGCUCAACUGUAAAAGUGCCUUCGAAACUGGUUUCCUUGAGUGUAGACGAAGUAGGCGGAAUUUGUGGUGUAGCGGUGAAAUGCAUAGAUAUCACGAGGAACUCCGAUUGCGCAGGCAGCUUACUAAACUACUACUGACGCUCAGGCACGAAGGCGCGGGGAUCAAACAGGAUUAGAUACCCUGGUAGUCCCU
Molecule: ribosomal RNA, 275 nt
Filed under: uncultured prokaryote
Description: partial 16S ribosomal RNA
Rfam family: Bacterial small subunit ribosomal RNA
Source: RNAcentral